UAAGAAACGGGUCAAAGAUUUAAAACGCGGUUUUGGGAUACAUACAAAUAUUCACUCUUAGCGAUCGUUUCACUCAGGUCAUACAGGAUUUUCGAAGAGAAAAGGAACACAGAAGAGGUACUAUUUUGCUCAAUCAACACCAUGAAUUGACUGAUCAAAAGUCAGAAGAUACUUCCAGACAAUAACAGUUUUGCAUGUCGUUCUACAGGAAGCACAUAUAAUAGUACUCGACAACAAUAUUAUCCUUAUGAAAAGGCGAAGACAACGAACAGUGAUCAAUCUCAAAACUCUUAUAUGACUCACCAUGCAAGAAUGUUGAAAAAACUUCUGAUUAUACUUGGAUACAGAUAUUGCUCAACCAAGACAGCUAGUUCUCAAAGAUUGGAAUUUCCUUUUCACAUGCAAGAAUAUGAAUGAAAUACCGGCAAACAUACAUAUUAUGUUUUAUUUUUGUGCCGCCAUCAGACAACUCUAUUUUUAUGUAAACUAUAUUAUGUUCCACCACUUUUAACUAAAGAUGUAUACUAGUGAGCUAAUUGAAUACGCAUAUAAAAUGAAAUAUUAGAUAAGCGCACGAUAUAGAUAAAUUACAUAUAGAAAUGACGUCAGUUAACAUUACAAGGAGAAAUAAAUAUUAGAAUCAUUUCACUUCCUGUACUUUUAUUUGUAUUCAUCAUUAUUACUAAGUUGUUCAGCAUAACGUUCUUGUUAAAACCCAGGAACAGCGAAUAUGUGAUAGCAGUACUCACUUGUUGAGAAGAACUUGAUUGAUGGGUAGGAGGUGUCAUAGUCAACGGAU
Molecule: long non-coding RNA, 799 nt
Organism: Ostrea edulis (European flat oyster)
Lineage: Eukaryota; Metazoa; Mollusca; Bivalvia; Ostreida; Ostreidae
Exons: 3
Source: RefSeq, a predicted model, not a curated record